RNAcentral lists this ribosomal RNA (1402 nucleotides) under uncultured organism. Its description in RNAcentral is "bacterial SSU rRNA". It matches the Rfam family "Bacterial small subunit ribosomal RNA". The record is from RNAcentral.
GCUGGCGGAGUGCUUAAUACAUGCAAGUCGAACGAGAAAGUAUCUUCGGAUGAUGAGUAUAGUGGCGAACGGGUGAGUAACACGUAAGCAACUUGGCCUUAAGUUUGGAAUAACCCUGCUAACGCGGGGCUAAUACCAAAGAAAUCUUAAAACUGCAUGGUUUAAAGAUUAAAGUGGCAUAGUCAUGCUUAAGGAUGGGCUCGCGGCCUAUUAGCUAGUUGGUAAGGUAACGGCUUACCAAGGCGACGAUAGGUAGCCGACCUUAGCGGGUGAUCGGCCACAUUGGGACUGAGAUACGGCCCAGACUCCUACGGGAGGCAGCAGUAGGGAAUAUUGCGCAAUGGACGAAAGUCUGACGCAGCAACUCCGCGUGAGGGAUGACGGUUUUCGAAUUGUAAACCUCUGUUGACAGGGAAGAACCUUAUAAGUGAACCUUAUAACUGACGGUACCUGUCGAGGAAGCCCCGGCUAAAUACGUGCCAGCAGCCGCGGUAAUACGUAUGGGGCAAGCGUUGUUCGGAAUCACUGGGCGUAAAGCGAACGUAGGCGGGUUUGUAAGUUAGGAGUUUAAGACGGCGGCUUAACCGACGGAAUGCUCUUAAUACUGCAUACCUUGAGUAUGGGAGAGGAAGAUGGAAUUCCGAGUGUAGCGGUGGAAUGCGUAGAUAUUCGGAAGAACACCAGUUGCGAAGGCGGUCUUCUGGCCCAAUACUGACGCUGAGGUUCGAAAGCAAGGGGAGCGAACAGGAUUAGAUACCCUGGUAGUCCUUGCCGUAAACGAUGGAUACUAGUUGUGGGUAUUUUCGGAUAUCCGUGACGUAGCAAACGCAUUAAGUAUCCCGCCUGGGGAGUACGCUCGCAAGAGUGAAACUCAAAGGAAUUGACGGGGGCCCGCACAAGCGGUGGAGCAUGUGCUUUAAUUCGAUGCAACGCGAAGAACCUUACCUGGCCUUGACAUGGGGAUGAAAGUUUUUAGAGAUAAGAACCUUCCUUCGGGACAUCCUACACAGGUGCUGCAUGGUUGUCGUCAGCUCGUGUCGUGAGAUGUUGGGUUAAGUCCCGCAACGAGCGCAACCCUUGUCCUUAGUUGCCAUCAGGUAAUGCUGGGAACUCUAAGGAGACUGCCCGGAUUAACCGGGAGGAAGGUGGGGAUGACGUCAAAUCAUCAUGGCCCUUACGGCCAGGGCUAGACACGUGCUACAAUGGGCGGUACAGAGGGCGGCGAGACCGUGAGGUGGAGCUAAUCCCAUAAAACCGUUCACAGUUCGGAUUGGAGUCUGCAAUUCGACUCCAUGAAGUUGGAAUCGCUAGUAAUCGCGGAUCAGCAUGCCGCGGUGAAUACGUUCCUGGGCCUUGUACACACCGCCCGUCAAGCCAUGAAAGAUGGUAGUGCCCGAAGUCG